Astatotilapia calliptera (eastern happy) is the source of this 1189-nucleotide long non-coding RNA. NCBI's taxonomy places the organism in Eukaryota, Metazoa, Chordata, Actinopteri, Cichliformes, Cichlidae. The record is from Ensembl.
UGUGUCUCAUUUGGAACCAUAUUUAACUUUCUUAUGUCAUUUGCUCUUUUGUGUUCCCUUUCCUUUCCUUUCAUAUCGAUUAAUUAAAAUGUAUUUAUAUAGCACUUUUCAAAGAUUAAAAAUCACAAAGCGCUCCUCCCGGCCUCUGGGCCUGCGGCUCGGUUCACUCUGGCACAGCUGGCUGCCGGCAGAGCCGGCGGGCAUGCCGGUGCAGCCCCCUCUAGCUUCUGCUCGGUGGCUACUGGGUGACGCCUCGUCUGGGGAUCCUCAGCCCUUCCCAUGAGGGUGGCACGGAUGCCCCUCCGGUGGUCCUCCUUGGGCUCUCGCACUCUGGGGCCUCUGGAUGUCUGGGGCCUGGAUCUCCUCCAUGCCUGCUUCAUGCCCUGGGGGACGGGGCUAUGGCUCUCUACAUCCUCUUGCAGACCAUUACAUGUGGAAACCAUUUGCUUUGGGUUUUUUUUUGCUUGUUUUCUAUUCUUUUUCUCUCAACAGGUGAUCCAGGAGAUUUUUUUUCUCCCCCCCUUUCUCACUGUCCCUCUCCCCUUCUGUUUUUCUUUUCCUUCCUCUUUCUUUCUCCCUUUCCUCACUUUCCUCACUCAUGUCUGUCCCGUCUGUAACAUCUGAAAAUAAAAUAAAAUAAAUAAUAAAAACAAAGGUCGAUCAAAUGGACCAAUACGGCAAUGCCACGAUGAUCCAUUUGGCAAAAUAAAUCCAUUGGGUAUCCUUGUUGGUCUUCAGACAACAAUUCUGAUGGCUAAAGAACCAAAUGGGACAGGCAAAAGAAAAAAAAAAUCACAAAGAGCUUCAUAAUAAAACCAGAAAUAUAAAGUAAUAAUAGUUGAAAACAAGUUGAAAGUUGAAAACAUAAAACACAUUACUUUAAUCUUACUUUACUUGAUCAACAGCAACCCACAAAACUAUUUAGUAGAGGAUAAGGAAAACAUGUUCUAUCCGUCAAUUUUUUCCCCAUUAUUCCAGUUCAGGUUUGCAGCAGGGCCUGGAGACUUUCCCAACUGUCACUCACUUUGUCAAGACAAAAUUCUGACUUAUUCUAACCCCACUACAUCCAUAUUGCACACUUUAAAAAACAGAGCAUCCAAUAUUGCUGCAGUCAGGGCAUAAAAGCUCAGAUUUCAAAAGAAAAUGUGUUUUCAUUAUUGUAACGGUAACGGCUUCUGACAGAACGGCA